RNAcentral lists this ribosomal RNA (253 nucleotides) under uncultured bacterium. RNAcentral's name for it is "partial 16S ribosomal RNA". It matches the Rfam family "Bacterial small subunit ribosomal RNA", at positions 524 to 776 of the family's 1533-position model. The record is from RNAcentral.
UACGUAGGGUGCGAGCGUUAAUCGGAAUUACUGGGCGUAAAGCGUGCGCAGGCGGUUUUGUAAGCCAGGUGUGAAAUCCCCGGGCUCAACCUGGGAAUGGCAUUUGGGACUGCAAGGCUGGAGUGCGGCAGAGGAGACUGGAAUUCCUGGUGUAGCAGUGAAAUGCGUAGAUAUCAGGAGGAACACCCGUGGCGAAGGCGGCUCUCUGGGACGGUACUGACGCUGAGACGCGAAAGCGUGGGGAGCGAACAGG